UCCCUAGUGGUUCAGUGGUUAGGACUCUGCAUUUCUACCGCUGGGGCCACAGGUUCAAUCCCUUUUCAGGGAA
This 73-nucleotide transfer RNA is filed under the name Ovis aries (sheep). It matches the Rfam family "tRNA". Rfam says of the family: Transfer RNA (tRNA) molecules are approximately 80 nucleotides in length. Their secondary structure includes four short double-helical elements and three loops (D, anti-codon, and T loops). Further hydrogen bonds mediate the characteristic L-shaped molecular structure. tRNAs have two regions of fundamental functional importance: the anti-codon, which is responsible for specific mRNA codon recognition, and the 3' end, to which the tRNAs corresponding amino acid is attached (by aminoacyl-tRNA synthetases). tRNAs cope with the degeneracy of the genetic code in two manners: having more than one tRNA (with a specific anti-codon) for a particular amino acid; and 'wobble' base-pairing, i.e. permitting non-standard base-pairing at the 3rd anti-codon position. Lineage: Eukaryota; Metazoa; Chordata; Mammalia; Artiodactyla; Bovidae. The record is from Rfam by way of RNAcentral.